AUGUAGCUCAGUGGUAGAGCAUUUGUCUAGAUACGCAAAGCCCUGGGUUCAAUCCCCAGCAU
This 62-nucleotide transfer RNA is filed under the name Ictidomys tridecemlineatus (thirteen-lined ground squirrel). Its description in RNAcentral is "Spermophilus tridecemlineatus (thirteen-lined ground squirrel) tRNA". It matches the Rfam family "tRNA", at positions 5 to 66 of the family's 71-position model. From Rfam's summary of the family: Transfer RNA (tRNA) molecules are approximately 80 nucleotides in length. Lineage: Eukaryota; Metazoa; Chordata; Mammalia; Rodentia; Sciuridae. The record is from Rfam by way of RNAcentral.